This 283-nucleotide signal recognition particle RNA is filed under the name Aotus nancymaae (Ma's night monkey). RNAcentral describes it as "Metazoan signal recognition particle RNA (ENSANAG00000006160.1)". It matches the Rfam family "Metazoan signal recognition particle RNA". Rfam says of the family: The signal recognition particle (SRP) is a universally conserved ribonucleoprotein. It is involved in the co-translational targeting of proteins to membranes. The eukaryotic SRP consists of a 300-nucleotide 7S RNA and six proteins: SRPs 72, 68, 54, 19, 14, and 9. The record is from RNAcentral. Lineage: Eukaryota; Metazoa; Chordata; Mammalia; Primates; Aotidae.
GUGGGCCUGUAGUCCCAGCUACUUAGGAGACCGAGGUGGGUGGGUUGCUUGAACUCAGGAGUUCUGGGUUGUAGUGCACUGUGCAGAUCGGAUGUCUGCAUUAAGUUCGGCAUCAAUAUGUGAUCUUCUGGGAGCAGGGGACUACCAGGUCACCUAAGGAGAGGUGAAUCAGCCCAGGUCAGAAAUGGAGUAGGUAAAUACUCCCGGGCUGAUGAGUAGUGGGAUAGCGCCUGUGUUUAGCCACUGCACCCCAGCCUGGGAAAUGUAGCAAGACCCUGUCUCU